RNAcentral lists this unclassified non-coding RNA (253 nucleotides) under uncultured Oceanospirillales bacterium. Its description in RNAcentral is "contains 16S-23S intergenic spacer region". It matches the Rfam family "Bacterial small subunit ribosomal RNA", at positions 524 to 776 of the family's 1533-position model. The record is from RNAcentral. Lineage: Bacteria; Pseudomonadati; Pseudomonadota; Gammaproteobacteria; Oceanospirillales.
UAAGGAGUGUCCGAGCGGUAAUCGGAAUCACUGUGCGUAAAGCGCGCGUAGGUGGUUGAGUCAGUCACAUGUGAAAGCCCCGGGCUUAACCUGGGAACUGCACCUGAUACUGCUUGACUAGAGUACGGUAGAGGGCAGUGGAAUUUCCUGUGUAGCGGUGAAAUGCGUAGAUAUAGGAAGGAACACCAGUGGCGAAGGCGACUGCCUGGACUGAUACUGACACUGAGGUGCGAAAGCGUGGGUAGCAAACAGG